RNAcentral lists this ribosomal RNA (392 nucleotides) under uncultured beta proteobacterium. Its description in RNAcentral is "bacterial SSU rRNA". It matches the Rfam family "Bacterial small subunit ribosomal RNA", at positions 9 to 404 of the family's 1533-position model. The record is from RNAcentral. Lineage: Bacteria; Pseudomonadati; Pseudomonadota; Betaproteobacteria.
GAGUUUGAUCAUGGCUCAGAUUGAACGCUGGCGGCAUGCUUUACACAUGCAAGUCGAGCGGCAGCGCGGGGCAACCUGGCGGCGAGCGGCGAACGGGUGAGUAAUGCAUCGGAACGUGUCCCGAAGUGGGGGAUAACGCCGCGAAAGCGGCGCUAAUACCGCAUGGGCUCUUUGGAGUAAAGCGGGGGAUCGCAAGACCUCGCGCUUGGGGAGCGGCCGAUGUCCGAUUAGCUUGUUGGUGGGGUAAAGGCCCACCAAGGCGACGAUCGGUAGCUGGUCUGAGAGGAUGAUCAGCCACACUGGGACUGAGACACGGCCCAGACUCCUACGGGAGGCAGCAGUGGGGAAUUUUGGACAAUGGGGGCAACCCGUGAUCCAGCCAUGCCGCGUGC